UCGGGAAUUUUGGGCAAUGGGCGAAAGCCUGACCCAGCAACGCCGCGUGAAGGAUGAAAUCCCUCGGGAUGUAAACUUCGCAAGAUUGGGAAGAAUUAGUAGGGGUUAAUACCCCCUAUGAUGACGGUACCUUUUGUAAGCUCCGGCUAACUCCGUGCCAGCAACCGCGGUAAUACGGGGGGAGCAAGCGUUGUUCGGAUUUACUGGGCGUAAAGGGCGCGUAGGCGGUCAGCACAAGUCAGUUGUGAAAUCUCCGGGCUUAACUCGGAAAGGUCAACUGAUACUGUGCGACUAGAGUGCAGAAGGGGCAACUGGAAUUCUCGGUGUAGCGGUGAAAUGCGUAGAUAUCGAGAGGAACACCUGCGGCGAAGGCGGGUUGCUGGGCUGACACUGACGCUGAGGCGCGAAAGCCAGGGGAGCGAACGGGAUUAGAUACCCCGGUAGUCCUGGCCUUAAACGAUGGAUGCUUGGUGUCUGGAGUUAUAUAGUCUCCGGGUGCCGCAGCUAACGCGUUAAGCAUCCCGCCUGGGGAGUACGGUCGCAAGACUGA
Molecule: ribosomal RNA, 550 nt
Filed under: uncultured Acidobacteriota bacterium
Lineage: Bacteria; Pseudomonadati; Acidobacteriota
Description: bacterial SSU rRNA
Rfam family: Bacterial small subunit ribosomal RNA
Source: RNAcentral